UACGGAGGAUGCGAGCGUUAUCCGGAUUUAUUGGGUUUAAAGGGUGCGUAGGCGGCUUUUUAAGUCAGCGGUGAAAUUUUGCAGCUUAACUGUAAAAGUGCCGUUGAUACUGUGAGGCUAGGAUUUGGUUGCUGUGGGUGGAAUGUGUGGUGUAGCGGUGAAAUGCUUAGAGAUCACACAGAAUAUCGAUUGCGAAGGCAGCUCACAAAGCCAAGAUUGACGCUGAGGCACGAAAGUGUGGGGAUCAAACAGGAUUA
This 257-nucleotide ribosomal RNA is filed under the name uncultured prokaryote. RNAcentral's name for it is "partial 16S ribosomal RNA". It matches the Rfam family "Bacterial small subunit ribosomal RNA", at positions 524 to 780 of the family's 1533-position model. The record is from RNAcentral.